UAUGGCAGACUUAGUGCAAUGGAUUUAAAUUCCUUUUAUAAAGAUCAUUUCUUUUAUUAAAA
RNAcentral lists this transfer RNA (62 nucleotides) under Temnothorax rugatulus. Its description in RNAcentral is "tRNA-Leu". The record is from RNAcentral. Lineage: Eukaryota; Metazoa; Arthropoda; Insecta; Hymenoptera; Formicidae.